UUGAACGCUGGCGGUAUGCUUUACACAUGCAAGUCGAACGGCAGCACGGGGCAACCUGGUGGCGAGUGGCGAACGGGUGAGUAACAUAUCGGAACAUAUCCGGAAGUGGGGGAUAACGUAGCGAAAGUUACGCUAAUACCGCAUAUGCCCUGAGGGGGAAAGUGGGGGAUCGCAAGACCUCACGCUUUCGGAGUGGCCGAUAUCAGAUUAGCUAGUUGGUGGGGUAAAGGCCCACCAAGGCGACGAUCUGUAGCUGGUCUGAGAGGACGACCAGCCACACUGGGACUGAGACACGGCCCAGACUCCUACGGGAGGCAGCAGUGGGGAAUUUUGGACAAUGGGCGCAAGCCUGAUCCAGCAAUGCCGCGUGCAGGAAGAAGGCCUUCGGGUUGUAAACUGCUUUUGUACGGAACGAAAAGGUCUGGGUUAAUACCCUGGGCUCAUGACGGUACCGUAAGAAUAAGCACCGGCUAACUACGU
RNAcentral lists this ribosomal RNA (480 nucleotides) under uncultured bacterium. Its description in RNAcentral is "bacterial SSU rRNA". It matches the Rfam family "Bacterial small subunit ribosomal RNA", at positions 30 to 506 of the family's 1533-position model. The record is from RNAcentral.